CUUUAACUCUGGCGGUAGGCCUAACACAUGCAAGUCGAACGGCAGCACAGUAAGAGCUUGCUCUUACGGGUGGCGAGUGGCGGACGGGUGAGGAAUACAUCGGAAUCUACUUUUUCGUGGGGGCUAACGUAGGGAAACUUACGCUAAUACCGCAUACGACCUACGGGUGAAAGCAGGGGAUCUUCGGACCUUGCGCGAUUGAAUGAGCCGAUGUCGGAUUAGCUAGUUGGCGGGGUAAAGGCCCACCAAGGCGACGAUCCGUAGCUGGUCUGAGAGGAUGAUCAGCCACACUGGAACUGAGACACGGUCCAGACUCCUACGGGGGGCAGCAGUGGGGAAUAUUGGACAAUGGGCGCAAGCCUGAUCCAGCCAUACCGCGUGGGUGAAGAAGGCCUUCGGGUUGUAAAGCCCUUUUGUUGGGAAAGAAAAGCAGCAGGUUAAUACCCCGCUGUUCUGACGGUACCCAAAGAAUAAGCACCGGCUAACUUCGUG
This 492-nucleotide ribosomal RNA is filed under the name uncultured bacterium. RNAcentral's name for it is "partial 16S ribosomal RNA". It matches the Rfam family "Bacterial small subunit ribosomal RNA", at positions 32 to 507 of the family's 1533-position model. The record is from RNAcentral.